UUGCCCUAUCUUCCAUCCCCUUUCAGUAUGCUCUUCUCAAAUCAACUAAAAAAAGGAAAAACAACCGUCUGUCUUCUCUAGUCGCCAUUCUCUGUCUAACUAGAGCUCCCAGUCAUCACAGCCCCAACAGCACCAGCGUGGGAAGAGCCUCACAGACUGUCUGUAACAGCGGCGGCAGCGACUUCUCACGGGUUCUCCAUCCGGCAUCCAGAACCAAUUACUUGCAAUGAAUUACAUACAUGAGGGAACAGAUGAUAACAUAUGGGUUAAGAACAAUUUUAAGUUGAAAGAUUACUCAAUUAAUGAUAUUCGUGUCAAUCUUUAUCAAGUGAGAAUUGGCAACUGAAUCAUAAAACUGAGGCAGCAGUGGGAGUGUUGGUUGCUGUUUUGUUCUGUUAAUGCUGGUGCUAUUUUCUUUUUAUUGUUUUCUGUUGGUGUCUUGCCAACAUUUAGUGUGUCAAUCUAGUUGAGAUAUGUUCCACUAGCAAUGAUGCAAUGUUAUCACCAAACUACUGGAUUUGAAAACAAUUCAAAUUUGCAGAUGUUAUAAUAGCGGUUAGUGUUUCGAUAAUGAUACUUCUCCAACUCCGGCAACGUUCAUGCAUUCCAUAGCUAUAGCAAACAUGCAAUUUCCAACACAUUCUGUAUUGAAUAAUUGCAUACCAUAGCAAAUAAUAAAGCCUUUUGUCUUGAGUACAAUUCUAUAGCACAAUAAAUGUGUUCUUUAAUACUAUCAACUAUUCUCUUAGCCCUUCUGUCUCUUUCUAUCCAUGCAGCUGUAACAGCUUUAAUAAAAGACCUUAUUCUAUCCUUUUACAAUUGUUUGAGGAGCAAAAACUAACAAAAUAGUUACUAAAGCUAGACACAGCUUAGUUGGGCCAAUUGUAGAAGACUUGCAUAGUGCCUAUCUAAGAAGCAUGGACACGGGCACGUGACACGACACGGACACGCUGACACGUUAAUUUUCAAAAAAUGUAGGACACGACACGUGAGG
Molecule: non-coding RNA, 994 nt
Organism: Camellia sinensis
Lineage: Eukaryota; Viridiplantae; Streptophyta; Magnoliopsida; Ericales; Theaceae
Source: RefSeq, a predicted model, not a curated record